GAUGAACGCUAGCGACAGGCUUAACACAUGCAAGUCGAGGGGCAGCAUGAUUUGUAGCAAUACAGAUUGAUGGCGACCGGCGCACGGGUGAGUAACGCGUAUGCAACUUACCUAUCAGAGGGGGAUAGCCCGGCGAAAGUCGGAUUAAUACCCCAUAAAACAGGGGUCCCGCAUGGGAAUAUUUGUUAAAGAUUCAUCGCUGAUAGAUAGGCAUGCGUUCCAUUAGGCAGUUGGCGGGGUAACGGCCCACCAAACCGACGAUGGAUAGGGGUUCUGAGAGGAAGGUCCCCCACAUUGGUACUGAGACACGGACCAAACUCCUACGGGAGGCAGCAGUGAGGAAUAUUGGUCAAUGGCCGAGAGGCUGAACCAGCCAAGUCGCGUGAAGGAAGAAGGAUCUAUGGUUUGUAAACUUCUUUUAUAGGGGAAUAAAGUGGAGGACGUGUCCUUUUUUGUAUGUACCCUAUGAAUAAGCAUCGGCUAACUCCGUGCCAGCAGCCGCGGUAAUACGGAGGAUGCGAGCGUUAUCCGGAUUUAUUGGGUUUAAAGGGUGCGUAGGUGGUGAUUUAAGUCAGCGGUGAAAGUUUGUGGCUCAACCAUAAAAUUGCCGUUGAAACUGGGUUACUUGAGUGUGUUUGAGGUAGGCGGAAUGCGUGGUGUAGCGGUGAAAUGCAUAGAUAUCACGCAGAACUCCGAUUGCGAAGGCAGCUUACUAAACCAUAACUGACACUGAAGCACGAAAGCGUGGGGAUCAAACAGGAUUAGAUACCCUGGUAGUCCACGCAGUAAACGAUGAUUACUAGGAGUUUGCGAUACAAUGUAAGCUCUACAGCGAAAGCGUUAAGUAAUCCACCUGGGGAGUACGCCGGCAACGGUGAAACUCAAAGGAAUUGACG
This 896-nucleotide ribosomal RNA is filed under the name uncultured bacterium. Its description in RNAcentral is "bacterial SSU rRNA". It matches the Rfam family "Bacterial small subunit ribosomal RNA", at positions 28 to 915 of the family's 1533-position model. The record is from RNAcentral.